GUGCUCACUUUGGCAGCACGAAUACUAAAAUUGGAACAAUACAGAGAAGAUUAGCAUGGUCACUGCACAAGGAUGACUCACAAACUUGUGAAGCGUUCCAUUCUUUA
RNAcentral lists this small nuclear RNA (107 nucleotides) under Mesitornis unicolor (brown roatelo). The record is from RNAcentral. Lineage: Eukaryota; Metazoa; Chordata; Aves; Mesitornithiformes; Mesitornithidae.